Molecule: ribosomal RNA, 491 nt
Filed under: uncultured bacterium
Lineage: Bacteria
Description: partial 16S ribosomal RNA
Rfam family: Bacterial small subunit ribosomal RNA
Source: RNAcentral
AGUGAACGCUGGCGGUAGGCCUAACACAUGCAAGUCGAACGGCAGCACAGUAAGAGCUUGCUCUUACGGGUGGCGAGUGGCGGACGGGUGAGGAAUACAUCGGAAUCUACUUUUUCGUGGGGGAUAACGUAGGGAAACUUACGCUAAUACCGCAUACGACCUACGGGUGAAAGCAGGGGGUCUUCGGACCUUGCGCGAUUGAAUGAGCCGAUGUCGGAUUAGCUAGUUGGCGGGGUAAAGGCCCACCAAGGCGACGAUCCGUAGCUGGUCUGAGAGGAUGAUAAGCCACACUGGACCUGAGACCCGUCCCAGCCUCCUACGGGAGGCGGCAGUGGGAAUUAUUGGACAUUGGGCGCAAGCCUGAUCCAGCCAUCCCGCGUGGGUGAAGAAGGCCUUCGGGUUGUAAAGCCCUUUUGUGGGGAAAGAAAAGCAGCAGGUUAAUACCCCGCUGUUCUGACGGUACCCAAAGAAUAAGCACCGGCAAACUUCGU